Molecule: long non-coding RNA, 234 nt
Organism: Photinus pyralis (common eastern firefly)
Lineage: Eukaryota; Metazoa; Arthropoda; Insecta; Coleoptera; Lampyridae
Exons: 3
Source: RefSeq, a predicted model, not a curated record
CAGGGAGAUAAGAUAAGAGGAAAAAGAUAAGAAGGAGUAAGGGAAGAGAAGAAAGGGAUUGCCGAUGGUUGUAUAACUGAAGAUGGUUCCUCGGAAGCUGGUAUAACUCGGGGUAGGUACAACAAUAGGUGUGCCUCGGCUUCGAUAACCCUUGGUGCUAUCCUGAAGUUCUGAUAGAAGAAAUAGAAGUGACGCUGACGAAGACGGAAGAAUAGAGAGAAUAGAAUGGCUAAA